Molecule: non-coding RNA, 169 nt
Filed under: Phocaeicola plebeius
Lineage: Bacteria; Pseudomonadati; Bacteroidota; Bacteroidia; Bacteroidales; Bacteroidaceae
Source: RNAcentral
UUCCGGUUCGGCGAAAUCACGGAUGAAAAGGGAAUCGGGUGAAAGUCCCGGACAGUCCCGCUGCUGUAAGCUCCAGACAUUUACGUUUGUCUACCCUCUGCAAGGCCACUGUCUUUUAAAUGAAGACGGGAAGGCAAGACAAACGGGAGUAAGUCAGAAGACCUGCAAA